UAUACCGUGAAACUGCGAAUGGCUCAUUAAAUCAGUUAUCGUUUAUUUGAUAAUACCUUACUACUUGGAUAACCGUGGUAAUUCUAGAGCUAAUACAUGCUGAAAAUCCCGACUUCGGAAGGGAUGUGUUUAUUAGAUAAAAAACCAAUGCCCUUCGGGGCUUUUUGGUGAUUCAUGAUAACUUUACGGAUCGCAUAGCCUUGCGCUGGCGACGGUUCAUUCAAAUUUCUGCCCUAUCAACUUUCGAUGGUAAGGUAUUGGCUUACCAUGGUUUCAACGGGUAACGGGGAAUUAGGGUUCGAUUCCGGAGAGGGAGCCUGAGAAACGGCUACCACAUCCAAGGAAGGCAGCAGGCGCGCAAAUUACCCAAUCCCGACACGGGGAGGUAGUGACAAUAAAUACUGAUACAGGGCUCUUUUGGGUCUUGUAAUUGGAAUGAGUACAAUUUAAACCUCUUAACGAGGAACAAUUGGAGGGCAAGUCUGGUGCCAGCAGCCGCGGUAAUUCCAGCUCCAAUAGCGUAUAUUAAAGUUGUUGCAGUUAAAAAGCUCGUAGUUGAAACUUGGGCCUGGCUGGCGGGUCCGCCUCACCGCGUGCACUCGUCCGGCCGGGCCUUCCUUCUGAAGAACCUCAUGCCCUUCACUGGGCGUGCUGGGGAAUCAGGACUUUUACUUUGAAAAAAUUAGAGUGUUCAAAGCAGGCCUUUGCUCGAAUACGUUAGCAUGGAAUAAUAAAAUAGGGCGUGCGUUUCUAUUUUGUUGGUUUCUAGAGACGCCGCAAUGAUUAACAGGAACAGUCGGGGGCAUCAGUAUUCAGUUGUCAGAGGUGAAAUUCUUGGAUUUACUGAAGACUAACUACUGCGAAAGCAUUUGCCAAGGAUGUUUUCAUUAAUCAGUGAACGAAAGUUAGGGGAUCGAAGACGAUCAGAUACCGUCGUAGUCUUAACCGUAAACUAUGCCGACUAGGGAUCGGGCGAUGUUCUUUUUCUGACUCGCUCGGCACCUUACGAGAAAUCAAAGUUU
RNAcentral lists this ribosomal RNA (1022 nucleotides) under Alternaria alternata. RNAcentral's name for it is "SSU rRNA". It matches the Rfam family "Eukaryotic small subunit ribosomal RNA", at positions 75 to 1106 of the family's 1831-position model. The record is from RNAcentral. Lineage: Eukaryota; Fungi; Ascomycota; Dothideomycetes; Pleosporales; Pleosporaceae.